Molecule: long non-coding RNA, 14190 nt
Filed under: Olea europaea (common olive)
Lineage: Eukaryota; Viridiplantae; Streptophyta; Magnoliopsida; Lamiales; Oleaceae
Description: long non-coding RNA (OEUR_LNC001906)
Source: RNAcentral
UUUUUCCCGCCUUCAUUGGCACAAAAUUUGUCUCUUUUGUGUAUUUCCCAAAUUUUCCUUUGCAUAGAAAUCCUGAAAUAAAGUUAUCUAUCUGUUAGGUAUCUGAUUUACUUGGUGGGAUAUGAGUGUAUUAGACAUAACCUGUGCUGAUGCUUGAAUAACACAUAAUAAUAUGAACAAUGUUUUUAACCAUUCUAUCAUGUUCUUGGGUAUUAAGGAGCUCCCUAGCAUUCUAAAAAGGAUUUGUCAUGUAAUACACUUGGGUUUAGUCGUAUUUGGUCGUUUUCAUCUGUUCCCUUCUCUUUUGUCUCAUAGCCACCUCUCAGCUCAAGAAAUUUUUGAGAAUUUACUUGGUAUGUUUUCUGGGCACAAGGCGAAUGUACAUGCCACGCAGAAUGUUAACUGAAGGGUGCUAAUUCGAAAGGAAAAGGCAGUUGCUGUGAGUGAUAAUGAAGGCAUUUGUAUGACGUAUAAACCUAAGGAAACACAUGUAGAAGGAUCUUAUGACAGUAGACUGAAUUGUGAUGAAAUAAGGGCUCAUGUCCAGGCGUUAAAAGAAGAAUUGGAUGAAUUAUCUAAGCUUGUGGGAUGUGGAUCUGCAACGGAAUCCAAGAUUCUCUUUUGUCAUAAGUGUGGGGAGGGCAUGAAAGGGGAAAGCGUGGCUCUUAAGGAGCUAUAACCAGAUGUAGACCUCACUAAAGACAAGGGGGAUAAUGACUCAAGGAUCGAAGCAGAAAGAAAUGGGACAUUGGUCUAACACAUGGGAGCCGAAUAUGAUGAACUUGGAGUCGGAGACACUGGGUUUGAUGGACAUGAUGCCAGCUGACGAAUUAUUAUCGGCUACGAAAGAGACGGGACAUACAUCAGUUGACGGUCGAGCCUUGACUGAAUCGAAAGAGCACGAGGAGACAUGUUCAAACACCUUGGUUCAGAACACAUAUAAUAGAAGGCAUUCGAAGCCCCUAAAAGAAAAGGAAUUAGGGACUGACAAAGCUCUUGUGUUGUGGGCAGAUGGCGCCAAGAACAGAGGAAUUGAUGGUGAUAUCGAACAGGUGGAGGAAGUAGAGGGAUACCCAUAUGACUUCUUAGAAUAUCAUCAUGCAGAGGAAACAACGGAGGUUCAUGCGAUUGAAGGUCCUCCACCUUUAAAUUGGGUUCUUCAAAAAAUUCAAGAUUUCAACAAGCUGGUUGGUGUGUCCUGCGAUGGAUAUGAAAGUAGACUGUUACAAUUAUUCGUAGAGUUGGAGGCCAGUAGGGGACAAGGGAUGAGUAUACCAGGCGGUAAAACAAGAAGAAAAGGUGACUGUGAACUUAAGCGGCUUGAAUGGUUAGUAAAUUAUGGUGACAAGGGUGCCGAGUCAAAGAAAGGAUUGCUUGGGAGGGAUGUCAAAGUGUUAAGAUGAUGCCAAAAAUAAUUAGUUAGAACGUAAGGGGGCUUAAUGUAGCGGAGAAAAGAUUAGGGGUUCAAAAUCUGCUAAGGGGAUGGAGGGCGGAUUUAGUCUGUUUACAAGAAACUAAGUUGGAGUCCGUCUCAAGGGCUAUUGUGAGCAGUUUAUGGGGGGAACAGUAUGUUGGGUAUCAAUAUAAGGGAUCAUCAGGAGCGUCAUGAGGUGUGUUAGUCCUGUGAGACAUGAGAACUCUUGAUAUGGAGGAGGCUAGUGAAGGACUAUUUUCUUUAUCGCUUUCGUUCAGAAAUGUUGGGGAUGUAUUUCAUUGGACGUUUAUAGGAGUGUAUGGGCCUAAUGAUGACGAGAGUAAAAGUGGAUUGUGGGAUGAAUUGGCGAGGAUGAUGGCUUGGUGGAACAUUCCAACUUGUCUUGGCGGUGACUUUAAUGUGACUCGAUUUCCUACUGAGAGAUCAAGUGGUGGGAGAUUAACAAAGGCAAUGGAGGAGUUCUUAGAUUUUAUCAGGGAAAAUAUGUUGGUGGACUUGCCUUUGAUUGGAGGAGACUUUACUUGGUCUUCUAAUUGGGAGCAGCCUAUUUUAUCGCGAAUAGACCGGUUCCUGAUUAGUGGGGAAUGGGAGGAGAAGUAUCCAGAGGUUACCCAGAGAAGAUUAGGGAGGGUGUAUUCUGAUCACUUCCCUAUCUUACUGGCUGGGAAUGCGAGGUGUAGUGUGAGAAGACCUUUUAGGUUUGAGAAGAUGUGGCUAAAAGUAGAAGGCUUUAGAGAGCGUGUACGGGACUGGUGGGCAUCUUACAAUUUCGGGGGUCCCCCAGUUAUGUGUUCAAUCAAAAAUUGAAAGCCUUAAGGAGGGAUAUAAAGAGGUGGAAUGAGGAGGUGGCGAGAGAUGUAAACUGGCGUAAAAACCAAUGUAUGUUAGAUAUAGAAGAGCUGGAUAAGAGGGAGGAGAGUCAAGGAUUGGUAGGGGAUGAAAGGGAGAGACGUGGAGAAUUAAGGGGAGAGUUGGAGAGGUUAGUGGAGAUGGAGGAAAUAGCCUGGCGUCAGAAAUCUAGGGUCAAGUGGUUGAAGGAGGGUGAUAAAUGUACCAAUUUUUCCAUAGAGUUGACAAUUCUAACAAGCGUAACAAUUCUAUCACCAUGCUGGUGGUAGACAGAGUUACUUAUGAAGAUCCACAAGAUAUUGGGACCCAAAUGGUGAAUUUCUAUCAAAACUUGUAUCGUGAGCAGUUUGAUUGGAGGAUAGAGUUGGAGGAGUUAGAUUUCUCUACUAUUACUGAGGAGGAUGCAAUUUGGUUAGAGAGACCAUUUGAGGAGAAUGAGAUUAAGGAGGUGGUGUUCAACAUGAAUGAUGAUAAAGCACCAGGGCCGGACGGAUUCUCACUCUCAUUUUAUAAGGUUUGUUGGGAAGUGGUACGAUCGGAUAUUGUGGAUGUUCUUACUUAUUUCUUUUAGUGUGGCAAGUUCUUGAGAAGCUCUAAUGCUACAUUUAUUGUGCUGAUUCCAAAAAAAUCGGGAGCAUCAGAUAUUAAAGAUUUUCGUCCGAUCAACUUAGUUAAUGGGAUGUACAAGAUUAUUGCAAAGCUGCUGGCUAAUAGAUUAAAGGAGGUGUUGGAAAAGGUGGUGUCUAAAUUUCAGAAUGCAUUCGUCAAAGGGUGUAAGAUAUUGGAUUCUGUACUUAUAGCAAAUGAAUGCAUUGACUCGAGAUUGCGUAGAGGGAUUCCAGGGAUGUUAUGUAAACUUGAUAUUCAGAAAGCCUAUGAUCACGUAAACUGGGGAUCCUUUUGUAUAUGCUCAGGUGAUGUGGCUUUGGGGACAAGUGGUGCUGUUGGAUUCACUUUUGUAUAUCUACGGUCUUGUAUUCGGUUUUGGUAAAUGGCAUUCCUAAGGGUUAUUUCCAGAGUAGUAGAGGUUUGCGGCAAGGGGAUCUGUUGUCUCCAUUAUUGUUUGUCAUUGUCAUGGAGGCUUUAAGUGGGAUGAUUGAGAAAGCUGUGGGAGAAACUCUGUUGAAGGGCUUUAUGAUUAACUAGUUGUAGGUAUCUCAUUUGCUAUUUGCAGACGAUACAUUGAUCUUUUGUGAUGCAGAGGCUGAGCAAUUUAGGAACUUGCGCCGUCUGUUACUAUGCUUUGAAGCUGUAUCUGGAUUGAAAAUUAAUUUGGGGAAAUCUGAGGCCAUCACAGUUGGAGAUGUUGCUAAUGUGAUGGAGUUAGCGGCCAUAUUGGGCUGUUGGACCGUGCAACUACCUAUGUCCUAUCUUGGGCUCCCCUUAGGAGCACGGUUUAAAAACAUACACAUUUGGAAUGGUAUUGUGGAAAGAGUGGAGAAGAAGUUAGCGGGUUGGAAGCGUAUGUACCUCUCAAAGGGAGGCUGUCUUACACUCAUUAAGUCCACUUUAUCGAAUCUACCCACUUCUUGUCAUUGUUUCCUAUCCCUGUUACCGUGGCAAAAAGAUUAGAGAGGAUUCAAAGGAAGUUUUUUUGGGGAGGUUUAGGGGAGGAGAGGAAACUUCACCUGAUUAACUGGGCGUAGUAUGUGCUCCCAUAAAAACGGGGGGCCUUGGAUUGAGGAGUCUUGUAUUGUUUGGUAAGGCCUUGCUGGGUAAGUGGUUGUGGCGAUUCGGUGUGGAGAGGGAAAGUUUUUGGAGAGAGAUUAUAGAGGCGAAAUAUGGUGUUCUAGAGGGGGGAUGGUGCUCAACCAAGAAUCGUGGUUCUUAUUGGGUGAGUUUGUGGAAGUAUAUACAACGAGGGUGGAGAGAAUUUCAGGAUAGAUUGACGUAUGAGGUGGGGAAUGGCAAUACUAUCAGAUUCUGGAAUGAUUGUUGGUGUACAGAUCGGCCAUUAAGAGCAGAGUAUCCUUCCCUGUAUCGUAUUACUUUGAUGCCGCAGGCUAUGGUACAUGAAGUCUUACAGGUGCAUAAUGGGAAUCCCAGCUGGAACAUUGUUUUUGUGAGGGGUCCACAGGAUUGAGAAUUAGAUGAUUAUGUACUACUCCUGACUUCUUUGUAUGAGGUGCAUGUCAGAGUGGGGCGAAAGUGAUCGUAGCAGGUGGAGGUUGGCACGCGAUGACAUUUUCUCAGUGAGCUCUUAUUUUAGAUCUUUAUUGGAACCUGAGGAGACUUCAUUCCCAUGGAAGAAGGUAUGGCGUUGUAAAUUACUCCCUCGGCUGGCAUUUUUCCUAUGGACGGUUGUGAAGGGACAGGUGUUAACGGUGGAUAACCUCCGAUGCAGGGAUUUUUAUGUUACGGAAUGGUGCUAUAUGUGUCGAAUGAAUGGAGAGACGAUUGACCAUUUGUUCAUUCAUUGCGACGAUGCUCGCACCCUAUGGAACGAUAUUUUGGUUUCUCAACACAUGGAUUGGGUGUUUCCACAGCGUAUGGAGGAUGUUUUGAAGGCAUGAGGGAGAAGAUUUCGUAAUAAAGAUAGCAAGAUUGUUUGGGACCUUGUCCCAGGAUGCAUCAUCUAGUGUAUUUGGAGGGAGAGAAAUAGUCGCUGUUUCGACAAUAAUACACGGACAACAAAGCAGAUUAAAGAAUUAUUUUACCUGACACUGUAUAUUUGGUUUAAUGCUGUGGCUAUUACUCGCAUAGACAGGUUGCCUAAUUUCAUGUCGUUUUUGUCUUGUAUUAAUUGAUAAUACACUUUCUAUGUAUUAUCCAUGAUUAAUAAAAUAUUUGAUUACUUAUUAAAAAAAAUAAUAAUAAAGAUUCUUUUGUUCCACUUUUGUGGGUUUAUUAUCAUGAGUUGUUGAAAUACUGAAAGAAACCAUUUUCUCUGUCAAACGUUUUGAUUUUGUUACUUGUCUUUUCUCCUUCAAACAUAUCAAUAAAUGUUAGAAGUGCUAGAGUUUGAAAAUCCCAAGAUCCAAGAUGUUCGAGUCAGGAUGCUAUUCUUAGUUCUUGCAAACGGGGAUCAAAGAAUUCUUUUACAUAUACCAAAUACCCUUUAACAACAAAUGUGGCAUGAUGAUAACGGUCUAAUUAUAAAUUGAAUAUAUACCAAAUUUUUUUGUGGUUCUAAAAAGACAUUGAUAACAUUUCCAGAAUUAGCAAAUAAAAAGGAUAGAUUAAUUCAUAGUAAGUGAGUGGGGAAUAAAUUGUAGAAAGAAGCCCUUCAAUUAAGCACUCCAUAAAUUCUAUAUUAGUCAUUCUUUUCAGCCCACCCCGUCAUGAAGUUUUGUUCUAGUUGACAAAAUUGCUUGGGAAGUCCUUCUAGUGUUCCUAAAACACCCUUCAAAAUAUUUUAUUGUUUGGACCAUACAGAGAAAUUUAAGUAUAAAAAAAUGUAUUAAUUGAAAAUCACGUGAAGAGAUGCUAUAUCUAUUUUUUGGUCUUAAUAUUUGACCUUAUACUUCUAAUAUCAGUUUAUAUAAGCAUAAGGAACUUAUGAGCCUACUCCAGAUUAUGUAAUUACCUUCCAUUACCUUUUUAGUUGUGGUAUUAUGAAGCAAUGUUGUUAACAAAAUUAUAGGGGUGGGAAAUAUUAAUUUAGGGCAUGAAGAAAGUUGAUACAUAUAUGAUACAAAAUUAUUCGACCUUUUAUUUUCCUAUUGGAACAUUUUUGUCAACAACAAUUCAUAAUCUUCUCAAGAAUCAACCGUAAAUCUUGAGUGAAAAAAUCCUGCUUAAACCAUUAAGAAUUUGAGAGUUGCCGCUGUAUAGAAAAUAUGUUUUGCUUAAUAAUCCUGCAUUGUAGAGCAAUGCUAGUAUAGGAAGGCAUAUAAUAAAGAUUUUGUCUAAUUCUUGUGUGUUUGUGAUACUCUAAGCCUGCGCUAGAUUUUAUCUAAUUCUUCUAUGAAUAUUGGGUUAUAAUUUCAUGAGUAAGCGUCUGAGGGAUAUGGGGAUUUGUAAAUAUUGAGCAAGUUUAGUUAAGAUUUGAAUCAAGCAAGAGCUAGACGUCAUACUGGCUCCACCCCUCCCAUAUUGUUAUCAUAGAAAAAGAUGGGAGCUCAGGGAAUUUAAUUUCAGGGAAGUUCGUAUGAAGAACACUACUGCAUUAGCUAUUCACAGGACACAAGCAUGCUAGAAAUAUCAUUACUGAAUGUCCUGUGGACUUAUCACCUGAUUAUAGCUCACAUCAGAUGGUGGUUUCCAGUGGGAGAACUGAAAUAAAUUAUUAUUAUUAUUUUCAGUUAUUUAUUAGAAUUUUUUAUCAAUGCGAAAUGGAUUUUACCAGCUUUCCAUGCAUAUCAUUGUACUGUUCCCAACUUUUGCUUAAAAUCUUCCCUAACCUUUACUUUCAUAGUCUUUAAGCCUUGAAUCCUGUUUGACUUGCCACUUUAUAACUCAUCUUCAUAUUACUUUUUGACAUUUCAGAGGACACGCAAAAAUUUUAUUCAUCAAUUAGAAUAUAGAGUCGAAUACUUCUAUCUACAAAGUAAUUUUACCCCUUGGUCUGUCUGAUUUCUACAAGGUGUACGGUAUCGUGAACAAGUAAUAAAGUGGAGUAAAAUAUUGUCUCACGAGGACUACGUACUUAAACUAGAUUCAAUUAAUCCUAACGUUAAUCAAAUAGCUAAUUGUGUUUGAAUGAUUUUAUACUAAAUUAUCUAAUUAAACUAAUUAUUCUAGUGAGCAGUUUAUCAAACGUUUGUAAAUAUAGAUUAGAUGAUACUAGAUUUCGAAUCCCCCGCAUUAAUUUGUUUUAAUACAAUUCAAUAACAAGACAAUAUGAGCAUAUUUUUGUUGAUUUAUGUUCCCAAGUUAAUUAAAAGCAUCUCUUGAUAUCAAUUAAAUCUAUCAUCUCAUGUGAUCUUCCUAUAUCUCUAUGAAAUGUGCGAACAUGAAAGCAUGCUUUAAAAAUAUUAGAACAUCUAUAGAAAUCAUGCAAAAUAUAGCAGUAUAUCUCUAUUCCAUAUUGGAUUUUACAAUGAUUUUUAUAAUGUGCUUCCUAUCCUAUUAUUUCUCUCGAAAUCAAUAAAAUUCAUAAACAAUUCAUUUAGUGAUCAAGUAAUUGACAAGUCAUUAAAACCUAUAACAAUCAUCCAAGAAUAAACACAUAUUGUGCUUCAAAUUAUUGAAUUUAUAUGAAAACAUCGUAACAAAGGUUCAUCUACAUCUUAUUAAUUGAAAAUCUGGCCUAAUAUUAGAAAAUUACAAGAAAACAUGUUUAAUUGGAAGAACAGAACUUGGAUUUUAGAUUGAUAAAGGAGAAGAAAAUAGGUCUCGAAAUCUUGAAUCUCUUCAAUGGUUUCUUGAUGAAUCUUUAAUAUAUUUUCUGGUUGUCACUCCAAAAAUAAUGGUUGAAACUCCAAUUUCUUGAAAAUUGUAAUUGCUCUUUAAUUCUCACAAGAACAAUGGAUUGGCCUCUCUUUCAUGAUGUUAAUUGAUGAAUUUAUGUGUAUGAGACAUGCAUGAGAGGUAUCUCUAAUAUGUAUUCUAUUGUUAAGUAUUUAUAGGAGUUGAAAUUUGGUUGAAAAUCAUACCCAAUUUGGUUUCCAAAAGAAUUACAAUCGAAUAAGGGAAGUUGCCUUCGCGCAUGUAUGUUUUUCUCUUCACAGCAUUUAAUAUUUUUGUCAUAACAUUCUCUUUUGAUAUCUCAUUGAGGCGAUUCAAAGUGUAGUGAAAAUCUAAUUCAAAGGGCUACAACUUUUCUAGAAAUAGAAUUUUUCUAAUUCGAAUGUUUAAUAUGUCAAAAAUUGGUCUCAAUCUUCGACUAAGUCUGGAAUAUAAUUUGUGUGAUUGAAAAUUGAUUUGUGAUACUACUUUGAUCAUAUUUUAUUUUUUUGACUUCUAUCCAGCUUGAGCGGCCCACGCGUUAGUUCUGUUGAGGCUCGGGCCAAACCUCAUCUUCAACUGUUGGCCCAAGAUGAGCUGGCCCGUGGCAGCUUCGCUAACAUGGGUUAAAAUGGCCCGUGACUUGAAAAUAAAACAAAGGCAGCUAUGUAGCUCAAUUCUUUCAAGAUUUAGGCCAAGCCGGCCCGUGGCUUGAAAGUAAAACAAAGGCAGUUACAAUUGCCUUUAAAUUUAAAGGUAGCUGUAGUUGCCUUUAAAAUCGAAAAAAAUUUAGAAUUUCAGAAAAAAUGAGACGAGCCGACUCUGAAAGGCCCGAGUCGAGCUCCGUUUUUCUGUCAAGUUGUGCCCAAACUGCGAUCUUCGGCUCAAUAGCUGGCUCAUUCACACCUCCACUUCUAAUUAUGUCCAAUUGACUCCUAGCAAUCUCAAGUAUUGUCUUGUGGUCCGAAUAAACUAUUGGAUAUUUGCAAUUUGGUCCUCAAACUUUGGACUUCGCCCUUUUUUGCCAUUUUUUGUUCCUUUCUUCUGAUUUCAUGUCCAAUCAUCGAGUUUCUCCUAAUAAAUGAAAUAUACUCAAUAUUGGGCUAUAAUUUAUCAAAAGAACAACGAAAUGUCAAUAUUUUAAAGUCCAAAUAAGUGUAUAUAACACAUCUAUCACCCUUCAAUUAAUUCAUACAAAAAAUAAUAAAAAUAAAACAGAAAAGGGAUUCUCAGUUUUUCCAUAUAAUGUGUGAUAUUUACAAAUAAAAAUUUAGACAUCAACAAACAUGUUAAAAGAUUUAUAGGUGCUAACCUACAAUGUUCUCCUAAGAUUUGAGAAAGAUUUACAUGUGCAUACAUUUAUGGUCCCGUUUUCAAUUUAAACUCCAGUCUUGCAAAAGCUCAUUGUGAUGCGGACAUCUGCCAAAAUUAUUUUACUUAUUGUUUUAUUUAUUGAUGUCUUUUUAUUUCAUUGGGCUUGUCUAGUGGGUCUAGCCCAAGCCUGUGAAUACUAGGUUUUUUUUGUUAUUUAUAUGUUGGUAACUGGAAUUGCAAGACACUUUUGAUGAAUAUGAAUUAUUGAGAUUGGUUGUGGCGUCUCAUUCUUCUCCCUUCCCCUUCCCCUUAAACUUCUGCUUCUUGUCUGGUUUCUUCCUCCCAUUCUCUCAGGUUUCUCCCUCCCUUUUUGCUUCUUCUUUCUAUUCUUUAAUUCGUCAUGCAUCAAACUUGGUAUCAGAGCUAAACUUGGGUAAUAUUUCCUCAUCCAAUCUAUACAUACAACCAGUAUAUCCAUCACCUGCUGCUGCAACUCCCUUUUCCAGUUGACCAGUGUUGUUAAAGAAACCACCACAUCCUCCCAUAACCGCCAACUGCCCGAAAUUUACUCAACACGUGGAACUUCCUCCACCAAUUACGACCCCCACCAAAUAAUUCCAACAAACACGACCACCUCACAAGCCAAACCUCCCACUUCAACAUAGGCUAUAGCAUAACCGCCUGCAACUUUUAAUUAACCGACCUUUUUUUCCACAAUAACAGCCCACUAUCAAUGGACCCAUAAACCACAAAACCAGACACCACCGCCUUCACCUCUCCAACCGACAUACAGUACAUCGAUAACCUGUACUUCCCAAACCACACCAAUCGACAGCCGCUGCUCACGUCUUCAGCCAAUCACUGCCCACAUAUAAAUCGCUACACUCAAGUAACCGCAAUCCGUCUCCAAGCACUUGCCACCACAUAAUAGCGAUGCCACCAUAGUUUCUCCUCUAAUACUCAAAGGCACAGAUGCUUCGACCUUCAAACUCGCCACCACAAAAGCAAUCAAAUUGUUGAUUGGAUCCUUUUCUUGACCUUAAUCCCCUUUGGGUCUUUGCUUUUACUUUGUUAUUUUGGGCCUUAAUUAAUGCCUAAUUGGUCUCAGUUUUAUGCCCUUAUGUAUGUUAUUUUAAGGGUUUUUAUUUGAUAAUUAAGGGAAAAAAAAGAGAGAAAAAAAAGGACAGAAAAGGGAAGGAAAAAAAAGGGGAGAGAGAAAAAAGACAGAAAAGAGAAAGGGAAAAAAAAAAGGAGAGAAAAAAAAAGAAAUUUCCAUCAUUAUUUAUAGGUGAUCUUUUAAUUAUGUUGAUUGACAGCUUUGCGACCAUAGCCUAUGCCAAUUUGAAAAUUGUGAUUGGAGCAUUGUUUGACUCUUGCAAGUCCCUUGAGGUAACAAUUUUAUUAUAUAUAUGCUUUUAUUUUAGUGUUUUAGCUUGUCAAUAAAAAAAAUGCUUUGGCGUGAAUAUUAAACAUUAGGAGUCCACUUGUUGACAAAUGGACGAAAAUUUCUUCAAUUUUCAUUGCCUUCUAACAAACUCCUAUCGUUACUUGAGCACACAUAUCUCACGAGCACAUCAUCAAUUUGUAUGCUACGGUUAGGAUACUAGAUACCAUGGCUAAUGCGAAAUAUUGCCUUAUAAUGUUGGACCUAAAUUGUGAACGUACUAUAAUUGACAUGUUCCAACACUUUCUUGUAGUUCUAAAAGGAAAUCAUUUAGGGAAUGUCUUCACUUCCAUUGACUAUCAUGACCUUUACAUUAGAAGAAAGUGACAAUCUAGGAAGCACCGACACACUGUCGGCGUAGACGUAUCGGUGUCCGAUACGUGUCAGACACCGGCAUGUCUCCGACACGUCGUGGACGCGUGCCGGAGGUCCUUACCGCGUGUCAGUUAUGAAGAAAUGCAAAUGGCUAGAAGAAAAACAGUAAGCAAAACAGAAGGGAGGAAGAAAUGAGAAGAGGUGUGUGCCGGCUGCUAUGCUGAUGAAGAAGAAAUGCAUGGAUGGCUGGAAGAAAGGAACGCCCGAGGUGAGGAGGAAGAAGCAAUGAAGAGAAAACAUGUGAGAAAGAAAUGAAGCGACGGAGAAAAGAAAGAAACAUUAAAUGCUCUGUCAAACAAUAUCUGUUUGGUUUGCAUAAAUCUAUUUUUUAUUUUUAUUUUUUGAGGAAUUAAUAUAAAAUGCCUGCAGAAUUCUUACAUGCCAAGAAGGUUGAUUGAAUCAUCAACAAUCCACUAAAAUAUAUAUGUCCAAUUUUGUCCUCUCCAUGGCGAAUAAAUUUGACAAAAUUAUCCUUCGUGUAAUUCACCUUGACAUUUUUUCAAAAGUAAUAUAAAGGGUAAAAAGGAAAUAAUAAAAUGAGCCUAUGCCAUAGGGUUUGAAAAGUUACCGUGUUCUGGCAAAAAAAAGGGGGAAAAUAGUGUACUUUUGGGUCCACUAUUUUGAAAAUGAGAAUGAGAUUUUUUACAAUGGCACUUUUUACCAUUUAACAAAGUAAAAGAUAGAUUUUACACGGAUGAAGUUUUCUACAAUUUAAUUUACUAUUUUACAUCAUGCAAUAAGUAUUAAAAAAAAUUACUACGUUAAACUAUUAAAUUAAAAUUUUUUAUAAAAAAUAAUAUUUUAAUCAACGUGUCGACAACGUAUCGUGUCGGAACUUUUUCAAAAAAUUACGUGUGAACGUGUCGGACACGUAUCGUGUUGGACACUCGUAUCCGUGUCGGUGCUUCUUAGGUGACAAUAUUUCUCUAGAUUUGAUUACCUAUCUUUUGAGUAGUGUUCAAAAUAAACACAAAGAUUUUUCUCCUAUUGUACUUAGCGUGCUGGAAAGACUUUUUGAAAAGUGCGCUAACACAAUCAAACCUUACUUAUCAGAAGCUAUAAAAACAUUCGGGAUUUUUUUAGAUGAUUAUAGUGCAAUUCUUUCCUCCAUUUUCAAAGAAGUCGAAAGUUGUGAACAAUGUAUCGUGUCCUCUAUUUUGACCACACCUAUAGCCGAAACUCUUAACAUUGACAUAAUUGAGAAAGUACCUAAAAUAAUGUCAUCCAAGUCAAAUAUUUCAAAUGUCCUAGAUUUUGUGCCUACUAUGUUGCAUGACUUUAAUGUUGAAUUUGUUUUAGUUCUUCCUCAAUUACAUGAGACUCCACGGGUUGUCACAUUGUUUUCUAAGGUCAUUACUUGAUUGCACACUCUUCCUAUUGACAUUAGGAUGUUGCCCACUAAUUAUCGACACUCAGUGCUAGCUCAUCAUUAUGUUGGUAAUUUUCCUAAAUUUCAUGCCAAGCUAAAAGGUCAAAUCAUUUUCAAUCAUGAAAUUUUUGAAUUUACUUUCGAUCUACAAUAUAAAUUAGAACGCUCUACUGAGGAAUAUUAUACUUUAUUAAGAGUCUCUUUGACCCACUUUCCCAAAAAUGUGAAGAAAAGCUUUUUGGACCACUCGUAUAAAGGUUUUCCUAAUCAGGGCUCAUUUGAGCCUUCGAUGUUGCAAUCUUUUAUCUCUACAGGCCAGCCUUCGGUGCUAAUUUCUCAUGCUCCUCAUUAUGUACAAUCACGUGAAGAUUUUGGAGUUGAGUUGCAUGAGCGUUUACUAUUUGGAGAUCAAUAUCGGUAUUUGAUUAAAAAGAGAGAUCAUCCUCCUUGGGUGGAUCAUAGCUUUGAGGAUAAGCUACAGCUUUGAUUGUUAUUAACUGUUGAAUUUCGAUAUUUGGGUCAUCAAAAAGAUCGUCCCUCGUGGUAUUUCAACCACUCGAUAGGAUCUAGUUUUUCUCCCAUCUCGGAAGAGUUGAUGCGGACAUCGGUCCAAAUUAAUUUACUUAUUGUUUUAUUUAUUGAUGUCUUUUUAUUUCAUUGGGCUUGUCUAGUGGGUCUAGCCCAAGCUCGUGAAUACUAGGUUUCUUUUGUUAUUUAUAUGUUGGUAACUGGAAUUGCAAGAUAGUUCUGAUGAAUAUGAAUUAUUGAGAUUGGUUGUGGCGUUUCCUUCUUCUCCCUUUCCCUUUUCUUCUCCGGUUUCCUCCUCCCAUUCUCUCCGGCUUCUCCUUCCCUUCUUGCUUCUACUUUCUAUUUUUUAAUUCGUCUUGCAUCACAUUGACUUUUACAUCGUCAAAAUACAAGUAUGACAGCAUUGUCUAUAUUCGAUGAGUGUUUUUAGUGGGGUUAUUUGAUGAAUAAAUCCGAACUCUUCUUGUCCUGUGAUAUUUAUGCAACUGUUUUUCAAGAAGUAAGUGGUGCCUCUUGACCUCUUCUAUUCUGCCAUCACCCUUGCUAGAUAUACAGGAUUUGGUGAGAAGAAACAUUCAAUGUCAGAAUUAAAGUAGAAAUUGAAAUUAGAAAGGAAACUAAAUCCCCAUCUGAAUGCAGAAAUGACAAGUCUAAAUUCUGUUUAUCAAUGAUCUGAACAAAAUCGCAUGUACAAAAUUGGAAAAUUGCUAGUUAAAGGAAAUUCUAUAAUUUAUCGAUGAACUACUAUAUUAUAGAACUUAAGAUUAUUUCAAAAUCGUGUAAUAGAUCUCAAACCUCCUUUUUCCAGUUUAUGUGUAGACAUGCAGGUUGGCCCCAUUGAUUUUAACUACAUCUUAAUUUAUUAUUUAUGCAGGGGCACUGUUGUUUUUUGCUUUGCUGGCCGUAUCUGGUUGCUUCAUAAUGUGUAAUAACGAAAACGUGUUCAACAAUCUAGAUCAACAAUGUCAAGAAUCUUGCCUGUGUUGUUGUGACCAUGGGUAUAGUGUCUCUUUUAUGACUCAUGAUAUCUCUGGUAUCGUAUUGGAAAUACUCUUCCCCACGAAAUAUAGCCCCUAUUUGGUGGGGUUAAAAUUAUAUUUUUAGUGGAUUUUGAUAAGAGUUGAUGAAAUGUGUAGUUGAAGAAUUUAAUAGUACCAAACAAGGGCAUAAUAAUAUUGUUGCCAUUGCAUUGUACAGUCAGUUGUUCCCACGGUAUUGAUUUUGUCUCAUCCUUGCAGUAUCUGGAGAGUUCAUUUACAUCUCCUUUUCUAACUGCAAAGUAAAAUGUUUCCUUUUUUGGUCAAUGUUUCGAUGAAAUCGAACCACCUCCUACCAUAUUAACUAUUUAUCUCUCAUUAAUGGAUGAAUCUUUGAACGUCAAGCGUGACAAAUGCUAUUUUUUUUCACCGUCGGAAAAACUGACAUAAUGACUGUUGAUUUAAGCAUUUUGACCUAGAUUUUGCUGAGCUAGAAAGGCUAAAUAGGGUAUUGAGAUGUUUUUACCCAUGUGAGGUGCGACUUACGCCUCAAACUAAUGAAACAGGUGAC